GAUGAACGCUGGCGGCGUGCCUAAUACAUGCAAGUCGAGCGAACGGACGAGAAGCUUGCUUCUCUGUUGUUAGCGGCGGACGUGUGUGUAACACGUGGAUCACCUCCCUAUCUUACUGGUAACACUUCGAGACACCGGAUCUAAUACCGGAUGAUAUUUUGAACCGCAGUGUUCAAUGGUGAAAGACGGCCUUUCUGUCUCUUAUCGAUGCUUCCCCGCUGCAUUGUCUAGUUGUGACGUUAAAGGCUUACCAAGGCAACGAUGCAUAGCCGACCUCAGAGAGUGAUCGGCCACACGAGAACUGAGACACGCACCAGAGUACUACGGGAGGCAGCAGUAGCGAAUCUUCGGCAAUGGGCGAGAAUCUUACGGAACAACGCGACGUCAGUUAUGAAGACGUUAGGAGCGUAAAACCCUGUUAUUAGGGAUGAACAGAUGUGUCAGUAACUGAACACAUCUUGACGGUACUGAAUAAAAAAGCCCCGGCUAACUACGUG
RNAcentral lists this ribosomal RNA (497 nucleotides) under uncultured bacterium. Its description in RNAcentral is "partial 16S ribosomal RNA". It matches the Rfam family "Bacterial small subunit ribosomal RNA", at positions 28 to 507 of the family's 1533-position model. The record is from RNAcentral.